AAGUGUCUAUUAUUAUCAUCACUAUUUGCAGGAAUUUGAAAAACGUGCUGUGUUUUGCAGACAGGGGCGACCGCCCAGGCCAUGCAUGGCCUGGAGAGCGAGUCAGAGGCGCUACCUUCUCCCCUCCCGGGCUUUGGCAGCAGGUCCCUUUCUGCAGGGAGGGGUCAGCGUGGCGUCGGGGACGUGUGAUCUUGCCCAGCGGCACUGCCAGCGCCAACUCAUAGUAGGUCAGGCCUCUGACUUAUUGAUAGUGACGAGUCCAUUCGAGCUGGCGGGCGCCAGGAUUAACUGCAAGCGGCCUGGGUCCUGUCGGUUCCAAGGCUGGGCCUCGUCGUCGAUCAUCAUGGCCAGAGAGGACAGAGUGACCACGUGAGCAGGGGCUCCCCGGGCCUCACCUGCCCUGAGCAUCCGCCCUUAUGUUGGAGGACCAAGGGCUGCAGGAAAGCUGAAAACCACUCGACUGGACAUUCUCUCAGGCUCUUCUUGUAGCUCAAAGAACCUAUCUUCCUCCUUACUUUUCCCACCGCAUAAAAUACGAUCACUCUC
This is a long non-coding RNA of Aethalodelphis obliquidens (Pacific white-sided dolphin), 546 nucleotides long. RefSeq lists it as uncharacterized. Lineage: Eukaryota; Metazoa; Chordata; Mammalia; Artiodactyla; Delphinidae. The record is from RefSeq and is a predicted model, not a curated record. The transcript is spliced from 2 exons.